GAUGUAAUAAUAAGUAGAGAGAAGACUUUAUUUCACUUACCUUUCGUCUCUUUCCCAUUAUAUAUUAUAGUGUAUAUAGUUAUACAUGUACACAUACAUAUACAUAUAUAAUAUAAUAAUACUUUAUGUUUGCAUUAUGUUUUAUAACACUUUAUCAUCACGAUGUCUUUACCGUGAGAGUUUUUAUAAGAUAAGUAAAUUUAUAUUGUUUCGAUUUAUGUUUAUAGAAUAUAUAUAUUCUAGACACUAUGAAAUUAUGCUUUUUCUGGAUAUAUCGUCAUAAGUUGUAGGCAUUGCCUCUUUUACGAUCAAAUCUAUAACUAAAUCAUAUCCAGAUAGAUCGUUAGAUAUAUGGUAGGUUCUGCCUCCUUCAUGAUCAAAUAAAAGCUAUGUCUUUUCCGGAUAAAUAGAUCGUUAUAUAUGAAAGAUCGUUAAAAUGGAAGACUAUGCCUCCUAUAUGAUCAAAUAUAAAGACUAUGUCAUUUCUGGAUUGAUCGUUAUAAGUGGUAGGCUUUAUCUCCUUUGCGAUCAAAUAUAUAGCUAUGUUAUAUCCAAAUUGAUCGUUUGAUAUAUGGUAGGCUCUACCUCCUUCACGAUCAAAUAAAAGCUAUGUAUUUUUUGGAUAGAUAGAUCGUUAUAUAUGGUAGGUUUUGCCUCCUUUACGAUCAUAUAUAAAGCUAUAUAAUAUUUGAACUGAUCAUUUGAUAUGGUAGGCUUCGCCCCCCCCCUUCACGAUUUAACAAAAGGUUAUGUCCUUUCUGAAAAGAUCGGCUUUGCUUUCUAUACGAUCAAAUAUAAGGCUAUGUCAUUUUUGGAUUGAUCGUUAUACAUAUAGAGGUUCUGCCUCAUUCAUGAUCAAAUAAAAAGCUUUGUCUUUUCUGGAUCGAUUGUUAUA
Non-coding RNA from Camelina sativa (false flax), 895 nucleotides. The record is from RefSeq and is a predicted model, not a curated record. NCBI's taxonomy places the organism in Eukaryota, Viridiplantae, Streptophyta, Magnoliopsida, Brassicales, Brassicaceae.